Molecule: non-coding RNA, 28 nt
Filed under: Rattus norvegicus (Norway rat)
Lineage: Eukaryota; Metazoa; Chordata; Mammalia; Rodentia; Muridae
Source: RNAcentral
AAACAGAUGAAUGACGGUACUCACCCAG